Molecule: ribosomal RNA, 228 nt
Filed under: uncultured bacterium
Lineage: Bacteria
Description: partial 16S ribosomal RNA
Rfam family: Bacterial small subunit ribosomal RNA
Source: RNAcentral
UACGUAGGGUGCGAGCGUUAAUCGGAAUUACUGGGCGUAAAGCGUGCGCAGGCGGUUUUGUAAGCCAGAUGUGAAAUCCCCGGGCUUAACCUGGGAAUGGCAUUUGGGACUGCAAGGCUUGAGUGCGGCAGAGGAGACGUGGAAUUCCUGGUGUAGCAGUGAAAUGCGUAGAUAUCAGGAGGAACACCGAUGGCGAAGGCAGGCUCGCUGGCUGACACUGACGCUCAU